GUCUACAGCCAUGCCACCCUGAAUGUGCCCAAUCUCAUCUGAUCUUGGAAGCUAAACAUGGUCAGGCCUGGUUAGUACUUGGAUGGGAGAACACCUAGGAAUACCAGGUGCUAUAGGCG
This 119-nucleotide ribosomal RNA is filed under the name Pteropus alecto (black flying fox). Lineage: Eukaryota; Metazoa; Chordata; Mammalia; Chiroptera; Pteropodidae. The record is from RNAcentral.